RNAcentral lists this long non-coding RNA (1178 nucleotides) under Numida meleagris (helmeted guineafowl). Its description in RNAcentral is "lncRNA (ENSNMEG00000020432.1)". Lineage: Eukaryota; Metazoa; Chordata; Aves; Galliformes; Numididae. The record is from RNAcentral.
GCAGAGCAAAACAAGCUACUAAAGUCAGCUCUCUCUACGAGACAAAAUAUUUGCAACUUUAGACUCAAUUGUCAGUUCCCUUAAAACUAUCAGAGUAUCCCAAGAUCAUUCUAUAGUGAGGGGCGUUUGGGCCCCGGAUAUAGGUGCCAAUUGAAGGGACCAGUGAACUAAAAAUCUGUUGGGUGAUACUCCAGAAUCCUAUAUUAGAAUCACAUGUGGAAUCGAAGUAAGAUAGUGUGCACCUUUGUCUCGAGUGAUGCAUAGUCAUAUUUCUAUAAUCCUGACUAGUGAGAUGAAAAACAGUUAAUCAGUCUAUAGUACAGGGUCAACCCUUUGCCUGGGAUUCCUUUCCAGGUUUUGCCUUCACAAAUUAAGAAAAUGCUAAAUGAUAGGCUAAUAAUAUCAUAACCAAGAAUUAUUAACAAUGAGGUGGUAAACGACAAAUUAUGAAACAAUACCAAUAAGCAAAAAACACACAAUCCCGGCUAUUUUCUGCCUUGAGAUGAGGCCGAAUGUCACGCUGGAACCCACGUAGGGCCAGUCCCUGUAUAUCCCCAACUCCUGUAUUUCCCCCCUUUUUCUUUUAGGAAUACCUCAAUGAUAUACAUAAUGCAAAACUUGCUUGAACUGCGCAAACAAAGCAGGGUUGUUAACUUCCUUAAGAAAAGAUUCCUCAAUCUGCUGAAUGACACCUGUAACAUACAAAGAGUUAGUUAACUGAUGUUCUGGGGGGGGAAGAGGGGAUAUUUGUCCAGUAUAGUCAGCCAUAGCAGUUGGAGAAACAAAUGAAUGCACAGGACUCCAGUCCAAAUCUUUUUACUAGUGGUGUGUCGUCAGGAGGGAGAAAUCCAGUUCGUUCUGCGGAUCUACUGGGCUAGGAUCAAAAAGAUUCUCUAGUUGCAGUCCAUCCUUGUCUUUAACAAAAGUACACACGGGCAGCAGAAGCGGAAACGGCACGGCGAGCAGAGGUGGAGGCGCGGGCAGCAGCGGCGGCGGCGGUGCUCUCCGAGGGCUGCACUCUUUCUUCUCCCCGACUGGGGGAGGGGUUGAAGUCCUGGAUCGGGUCCGGCAGAAGCUGCUUUCCUCANUACCCUUUUCCCCUUUCCCCUUUUCCCGGGUCGUGGGUCUGUGAGUCCCCCAUCCCAUUCGUCACAGAACCGGGCCGAACGCCCGUAAAC